UGCUGUAUAGUGCAAAUGGUAGUGCGUGUGACCUUGAAUCACAAGAUAACAGUUCGAUUCUGUUUGCAGCUGUCAA
This 76-nucleotide transfer RNA is filed under the name Caudoviricetes sp. RNAcentral describes it as "tRNA-Gln". It matches the Rfam family "tRNA". From Rfam's summary of the family: Transfer RNA (tRNA) molecules are approximately 80 nucleotides in length. The record is from RNAcentral. Lineage: Duplodnaviria; Heunggongvirae; Uroviricota; Caudoviricetes.